RNAcentral lists this non-coding RNA (87 nucleotides) under Listeria innocua Clip11262. RNAcentral describes it as "pan motif". It matches the Rfam family "pan motif". The record is from RNAcentral. Lineage: Bacteria; Bacillati; Bacillota; Bacilli; Caryophanales; Listeriaceae.
UGGAUGAUACCUUUACCGGAUCAUACUAACGCUACUUACAAAAAUUUGUUUUUUGCCUUGAUUAAUUCAUUUAACAGGGACGAAAAG